RNAcentral lists this long non-coding RNA (330 nucleotides) under Vigna radiata. RNAcentral's name for it is "long non-coding RNA (VRAD_LNC012777)". The record is from RNAcentral. Lineage: Eukaryota; Viridiplantae; Streptophyta; Magnoliopsida; Fabales; Fabaceae.
CACAAGCNAGCUCCNGGAAUCAANGUGUCUNCCUACUCCUCAAGAAAAAUUGAAAGCCAAAUAAUAAAAUGAAAUGCAAUUUUCUUCUCCCAAUNUAAAUCAGCCCACGUGCCCCUUUUNAUGUGUGUGNCGGNUGCACCUUAAAAAUGGAGAUAAAAGAAAAUAUNCCCUAUCCCAUGCUGCUAAUUGAAUGUAAAUUAAAGGCAACAAUGUUCAGGAAUUCAGCACUUAUAAAUGGAAGGAAAUAGAAUUUGAAAAUGCUUCCUAUUCAUCCCAUGAUCUAACACCGUCAAGAUAAGCUCAAAUUAGAACGAAAAUGUUCCAGCACCG